UAGGGAAUAUUGGUCAAUGGAUGGAAGUCUGAACCAGCCAUGCCGCGUGCAGGAAGAAGGCCUUCUGGGUUGUAAACUGCUUUUGCCAGGGGCUAAAAGGCCCAUGCGUGGGAAAUUGAAAGUACCUGGUGAAUAAGCCACGGCUAACUACGUGCCAGCAGCCGCGGUAAUACGUAGGUGGCAAGCGUUGUCCGGAUUUAUGGGUUUAAAGGGUGCGUAGGCGGCUUAUUAAGUCAGUGGUGAAAUAUCGCAGCUUAACUGUGAGGGUGCCAUUGAUACUGAUGAGCUUGAGUACAGAUGAGGUAGGCGGAAUUGACGGUGUAGCGGUGAAAUGCAUAGAUAUCGUCAAGAACACCUAUAGCGAAGGCAGCUUACUAAGCUGUAACUGACGCUGAGGCACGAAAGUGUGGGGAUCAAACAGGAUUAGAUACCCUGGUAGUCCACACUGUAAACGUUGAUAACUCGCUGUUUGCGAU
This 476-nucleotide ribosomal RNA is filed under the name uncultured Bacteroidota bacterium. RNAcentral describes it as "bacterial SSU rRNA". It matches the Rfam family "Bacterial small subunit ribosomal RNA", at positions 355 to 830 of the family's 1533-position model. Lineage: Bacteria; Pseudomonadati; Bacteroidota. The record is from RNAcentral.